AUAUUUUAUUUUCAUAAUUAUAAAUUAAUAUAGUGACAUAGUUUAGGAGUAGUUAGGAUUGUUCUUUGGGGGACUCCUAUGAUCUUUAUCACUUGUUACUUCUUUAAUUAAAUAUUGUUGAUUGAACAAACACCCAUGUUAACAAAAAUCCUUGUCAUGAAUAUCUUUUUGUCUACUGUGACAUACUGGGAGCCCACGGAGAGGUUCUGAUUUGGAAGUGCACUUUCUGUUUAUGAGACCUGACAGCAAAGAUCCUUAAAUUUAAUGGUGAGAAAUAGCAGCAGAGGGGACUGAGACCAAGAGGCAAAAAUCUCAUCUCCACCUCCCAACAGGGGUAUCCAAAGAGAUAGGAGGGUUAGCAGCUUCACAGCCACUGAAGAAGCCGCCAAGGUCAUACCUUAAGAGGCUAGACUGUCAGCCAACCCCAGACAGAGAGUUUGGGGAGCCAUACACAGGAGGAAAGUGUUUGUUGUUGUUUGUUUGUUGCAGUACUGGGGAUUGAACCCAGGGCCUUUCAUACUGCACUACAUCCCCAGUCCUUUUUUAUUUUUGAGACAGAGUUUUGUGUAGUUGCCCAAGCUGGCCUUGAAUUUGUGAUCCUCAGGCCCCUGCGGGCCCAGUAGCUGGAAUUGUAGGUGUGAGCUUCUGCGCCUGCGCAGGGGGAAGUGCUUAGCUGCUCACCUUAAGGUCUGAAGACCAUUCCUCCUCGCCACCCUCACCUCACAGUCCCUUUUGCACACUGCCUCUUGGAGUUUCCCAGUUUGGUGACUCUCCUCAGGCUCCCAGGUUGACACUGCUCUGCCCUGCUAAAUCCUGCACAAAGAAGCACAAAGAGCCACAUUCCUGGAAACCCCUUUGGAGAACUGAGCUUACCACCUGGUUACCACCAAGGAGAGAGAAGGUCAGGAAGAGUUAAAU
RNAcentral lists this long non-coding RNA (918 nucleotides) under Marmota monax (woodchuck). The record is from RNAcentral. Lineage: Eukaryota; Metazoa; Chordata; Mammalia; Rodentia; Sciuridae.